RNAcentral lists this ribosomal RNA (391 nucleotides) under uncultured bacterium. Its description in RNAcentral is "bacterial SSU rRNA". It matches the Rfam family "Bacterial small subunit ribosomal RNA", at positions 28 to 428 of the family's 1533-position model. The record is from RNAcentral.
GAUGAACGCUGGCGGCGUGCCUAACACAUGCAAGUCGAACGAACCUGAUCUUCGGAAAAGGUUAGUGGCGCACGGGUGAGUAACACGUAGGUGACCUGCCCUGGAGUGGGGGAUAACUUCUCGAAAGAGAGGCUAAUACCGCAUACGCUCGGCCAUUCAGUUGGUUGAGUAAAGCUCCGGCGCUCCAGGAGGGGCCUGCGUCCGAUUAGCUAGUUGGUGAGGUAAUGGCUCACCAAGGCGAUGAUCGGUAGCUGGUCUGAGAGGACGAUCAGCCACACUGGCACCGACACACGGGCCAGACUCCUACGGGAGGCAGCAGUGAGGAAUAUUGGUCAAUGGGCGAAAGCCUGAACCAGCAACGCCGCGUGAGGGAUGAAGGCCUCGGUCGUAA